UACGUAGGUGGCAAGCGUUGUCCGGAUUUACUGGGCGUAACGAGCGCGCAGGCGGUCGUUUAAGUCGAAUGUGAAAGCCCCCGGCUCAACUGGGGAGGGUCAUUCGAUACUGAUCGACUUGAAGGCAGGAGAGGGAAGUGGAAUUCCGGGUGUAGUGGUGAAAUGCGUAGAUAUCCGGAGGAACACCAGUGGCGAAGGCGACUUCCUGGCCUGUUCUUGACGCUGAGGCGCGAAAGCUGGGGGAGCAAACGGG
This 253-nucleotide ribosomal RNA is filed under the name uncultured bacterium. Its description in RNAcentral is "partial 16S ribosomal RNA". It matches the Rfam family "Bacterial small subunit ribosomal RNA", at positions 524 to 776 of the family's 1533-position model. The record is from RNAcentral.